UGACAAGAAUGACAGCACAACCACAGCAAUUACCAAUUUAGAGAGUUACACUCAACGCAGCAAGAUGUUCACACUAGGAGAAGCCAAACAAGAGUACAGAAGAUUCAAGUCUGCCAUCUCAUGCUAAACCUGGAGCAUAUCCUUUGAAUGGAAUGGAGAACAGAGGCACUGGCAUCCCGCUUCUUUUGGAAGUUCGAGCCCAGUUGGGUCUUUGUCUUCUGAGGAUCAUGAUUUUGACCCCACU
This 244-nucleotide long non-coding RNA is filed under the name Homo sapiens (human). RNAcentral describes it as "non-protein coding lnc-MIER3-3:1". The record is from RNAcentral. Lineage: Eukaryota; Metazoa; Chordata; Mammalia; Primates; Hominidae.